Molecule: ribosomal RNA, 497 nt
Filed under: uncultured bacterium
Lineage: Bacteria
Description: partial 16S ribosomal RNA
Rfam family: Bacterial small subunit ribosomal RNA
Source: RNAcentral
GAUGAACGCUGGCGGCGUGCCUAAUACAUGCAAGUCGAGCGAACAGAUGAGGAGCUUGCUCCUCUGACGUUAGCGGCGGACGGGUGAGUAACACGUGGAUAACCUACCUAUAAGACUGGGAUAACUUCGGGAAACCGGAGCUAAUACCGGAUAAUAUAUUGAACCGCAUGGUUCAAUAGUGAAAGACGGUUUUGCUGUCACUUAUAGAUGGAUCCGCGCCGCAUUAGCUAGUUGGUAAGGUAACGGCUUACCAAGGCAACGAUGCGUAGCCGACCUGAGAGGGUGAUCGGCCACACUGGAACUGAGAACAGGUCCAGACUCCUACGGGAGGCAGCAGUAGGGAAUCCUCCGCAAUGGGCGAAAGCCUGACGGAGCAAAGCCGCGGGAGUGAUGAAGGUCUUCGGAUCGUAAAACUCUGUUAUUAGGGAAGAACAAAUGUGUAAGUAACUAUGCACGUCUUGACGGUACCUAAUCAGAAAGCCACGGCUAACUACGUG